This 52-nucleotide microRNA precursor is filed under the name Pteropus alecto (black flying fox). RNAcentral's name for it is "mir-1302 microRNA precursor family". It matches the Rfam family "mir-1302 microRNA precursor family". RNAcentral also lists the same sequence under 1 other name. Lineage: Eukaryota; Metazoa; Chordata; Mammalia; Chiroptera; Pteropodidae. The record is from Rfam by way of RNAcentral.
UUUUCAGUACGAGUAUGUCCCAGGCAAUGUUGGGGACAUACUUAUACUAAAA